UCUUCGGCAAUGGGCGCAAGCCUGACCGAGCGACGCCGCGUGCGGGAUGAAGGCCUUCGGGUUGUAAACCGCUGUCGUAGAGGAGGAAAUGCAGGGGGGUUCUCCCCUCUGUUUGACCUAUUCUAGGAGGAAGUACGGGCUAAGUUCGUGCCAGCAGCCGCGGUAAGACGAACCGUACAAACGUUACUCGGAAUUACUGGGCUUAAAGGGUGCGUAGGCUGCGCGGAAAGUUGGGUGUGAAAGCCCUCGGCUCAACCGAGGAAUUGCACUCAAAACUACCGUGCUUGAGGGAGACAGAGGUAAGCGGAACUCAAGGUGGAGCGGUGAAAUGCGUUGAUAUCUUGAGGAACACCGGUGGCGAAGGCGGCUUACUGGGUCUUUUCUGACGCUGAGGCACGAAAGCUAAGGUAGCAAACGGGAUUAGAUACCCCGGUAGUCUUAGCUGUAAACGAUGAGCACUUGAUUGGAGGGUCCUCCAUAGCCUUCCAGUCGUAGCGAAAGUGUUAAGUGCUCCGCCUGGGGA
This 523-nucleotide ribosomal RNA is filed under the name uncultured bacterium. RNAcentral's name for it is "bacterial SSU rRNA". It matches the Rfam family "Bacterial small subunit ribosomal RNA", at positions 362 to 879 of the family's 1533-position model. The record is from RNAcentral.